RNAcentral lists this ribosomal RNA (564 nucleotides) under Triticum aestivum (bread wheat). RNAcentral describes it as "partial small subunit ribosomal RNA". Lineage: Eukaryota; Viridiplantae; Streptophyta; Magnoliopsida; Poales; Poaceae. The record is from RNAcentral.
AUGCUGAUGGAGAAGCCUAGCUGGGUUCGCCAUGACGGCCUGCAGAUCUUCUCCAUCAACAUCCAGCCCAGCGGCCUCCGCUUCGCCACGGGAGGUAGCGACCAGAAGGUUCACAUAUGGAACAUGAAACCCGUGAGCAAAGACAACCAAAAUGAUGAUUCCAAUCAAACAUUUCUGGCUACAAUGCGUGACCAUUUCGGAUCAGUAAACUGUGUGAGAUGGGCCAAGCAUGGACGCUAUCUCGCUUCUGGAUCAGACGAUCAAGCUAUCGUAAUUCGUGAAAGGAAAGCUGGUUCCGGUACAUCUGAGUUUGGAAGUGGAGAGCCUGCAGAUAUAGAAAAUUGGAAGGUCAUUAUGACCUUAAGGGGGCAUACUGCAGAUGUGGUAUGUUGGGUUCUUCCUUGCAUGGGCGAUUUUGUGCAAUCUUUGCUUUGCCUCUGCCGUCGGCGGCUGCACCUGUCAUGCUCGUGCUGGGAGAAUGUCAAGCUGAUCUCUGAGACAAGCCUUGGGGUUUACAGGUUCAAGGGCAGAGCCAUAGAUUUAGCCUCUAAAAAUAGGCUCUGA